AUACAAUACAUGCACUGGAAACAAAACGCAUCAAAGACACCUGCUUCCGCUUGGAAAUGUGACAAACCACAUCCAGAGGAAAUAAAGGUUUUUCUGCAAUCAUUUUUGUUCUAGUCCUGUACUCCUUUACCUAAAAGAAAGAAAGAAAAAAUGCAACAAGGAGCAGUCGUCAUAUGGGACACCGGAAAUCAAACAGAUCAUGUGCUGGACCAGUACAAAGCUUUCAACUGAAUGUUCAGAAAGAAUAGAUUGAGGAGCAUGCAUGAACUGGCAGAACAGAUAUCUCCAUCUCAGGGGCCACUCUAUAUGCUUCUUAUCAUUAGGAUAUAAAUCAAGCAGGUACCCGAAUAAUCAAUUGGUUUUCGUCUAAAAUGAAUAAUGAAUUGCUAUCUCAUUGUGCAAUCAAAGAGAAAUGGACCCAAUUUACAGGUGGUCCUCUUAGUCAUCAGCCACUAACUGAAACAUGUCAGCAUGGCAGCAAACUGUGAUGUCUAAGCACCCUACACUGAUAUUACAAUCCCCAGCAAGUAGAGCAGAGAGAUGGCCCCAGAGGAAUCAAAUCAAGAUCACAAUCGCAUAUAUCUUGGCUUUACACUUGCAGUUAGCAUUGCAUGUUCUGAGCUCAUGGUUCUGUCCCUUGCCAACUUGUCAUAAUAGCUGCACCUGAACUAAACUGCAUGAUGCUACUCUUCUCUUCUCCCUCGUCUAUAAAUUCAUCUGCUUAGUAGUUAGCACCACCAUCUCAUCAUCAGUUCACCCACAAGCCAAGCACUACAACACCUAGCUGAAUAUACAACCUGACACAAAAGUUUCUCUGAACUUUCAGCCAAGAAAUUCAGAAGGAGAAGCAACCAUGGUUAGUGCGAAGAGGCUUGCUCAAAUGGCAAAGAAGUGGCAGAGAAUGGCAGCCAUGGGGAGGAAGAGGCUCAAGCGGACGACAUCGACAAGAGCAGCCGACGAGUGCUGCACGACGUCAUCGGUGGCGGUAAAGGGCCACUGCGUCGUGUACACCGCCGACAGGGGUCGGUUUGAGGUGCCGUUACAGUACCUCGGCACGGCCGUCUUUAGUGAGCUCCUGAGGAUGUCUCAGGAGGAAUUUGGUUUCGCAGGCGGCGAUGAUGGCCGGAUCACGCUGCCCUGCGACGCCGCUGUCAUGGAGUACGCCAUGUGCUUGCUCGGGAAAGAUGCCUCCGCGGAAGUCGUGAAGGCCUUCCUGAGCUCCGUCGCGACGCCCUGCUGGUUUGACGGCGGUGUGGUGGCGCCAUGCGUAGGGUUUAACCAGCAUGUAGCCGUUUGCUAGCUUCAGAAGAAUGGCAGCUGCUACUGCUAGGAUCCUUGUUGUAGCCACCGUUUUGGUUCGACGCAAAGUGUAAAUAUGAAGUACUAGUUGGUUAGAAAUGGAACAGUUUUUUAACCGUUGAGGUAUAAAUGAAGGAACCUUCUUUCUCUGUCAGCUUAGCCUUUAUUGGGUGAAUUGGUUCAACCUCAAGGAAAACCACAUGAUCUGGCACCUUCCGCUACAUCGACACGAAGUACCAUAAACGGGGAUGCUCGGCAUGUCAUGCUGCUUCUCAUCACGACCAAGCCACCAAUCACCAAUGGCGCCGUCUUGUCUCCGGAUAGGACUUGCUUAGAGAUUUUUUUUUCCUUAUUUUUAUGUAAUAAAGUGGCACAUUUGGUACUUUGUGACUGUGUGAGUCCCGUGCGCACAAGUGGGGGGUUGAUGCCCUGUUGGUUAACUCGGUUGUAUCGCUUGAUAUAUAAUGUUGAGAUCAAUCUAUAAUCUUCUAUUUUCGAAAAAAUAAAUGAAAUGAGCAGCUCUAUUGGACCAAAUUUCUCGGUUAGAACCUGAGAUGCAGCGUAUUUUGUUUGUGAACAUAAGGCUAACAAUUUUUAACGAUAUGCAAAUUGUUCUAACCGUUCUUGCAAAUUCAAGCCUUUUUUUUCAUAUGGUCAGAAGACCGUAUUCUACUACUGUCAUGAAGAUAACGGAACAAAGUACUGAACCCAAGUUUCAACCCCGCACGGAAGUUUUUCACAUACCUGCCGCAUAUCGCUAACAAGAACACAAGCCAACUACCAAAAUAUUGUACUUCCUCCGUCCAACAAAGAUGUCUCAAUUUUGACUAAAUUUGAAUGCAUCUAUACACUAAGUCAUGUCUAGAUACAUUCAAAUUUUGACAAACUUGAGACAUUUUUUGUUGGACGGAAGCAGUACAUGUAAUGGAACUGGAGAUGCCCGAUUAACAUAUGGCCCACAUGCUGAUUCAGAGGGGAACUUGCCAGUAUGUCAAUGCAUGCACCCUUGGAUGUGAAACCAAUGAAGUAAGCAAAGCACUGGAACCUAGCAACUACUAGAUCAGGCAAUUAGCCCCAUCAAAAACAUGGUCAGAGGUUUCUCAAAAAAAAAAAAACAUGGUCAGAGAAAGUUUAAGCAUUGCAUUUGCACCUGCUCAUGGAUUUGCCCCUUCCUUCCCAGCUUGCCGCACUGACAAGUGCAUGCACUUCACCCAGCCUUUCCCCCAUCUUGCUUUUCCAUCGCCUAUAAAUUAAGGCACUGAAACAGAUCAAUUGCACUAUGACCAUCACUACCAAAAAACCAAUCAUCACUUUCUAAUUAUGCCAAGCAGAUUUGUAUGUUUCCAAACUGAAAGAACUCAAUGCGAGAUUAAAGGACAUGCAUGUACCAAAAUAUGAUCUCUAAAUAUAUGCAGGUUCAGAACUAAAAGUGCUGCGGAAAGCUGGACAACUCAAUGCUGAACAUGUAUGUCCAGAAGGAAUUAAUACAUGUGGCCUAGCAUUCUUAGAGAGUUUUCCAUUCUUGAGUUAUUCUUAUGUUUGCAUAAAUAGAUAUUUCUAAGAAACCAUACUAUAACUGGAAACAUCGCAUUUCAAAUAUAAUACAUGCAUGUAUUGAAACCAAACAGUCAACAGAAAGCCCAUCAGAGACAUCUGUUUCAGCUUGGCAACGUGAUAAAACCACUUUCAGAUGAAACAAACGUCGCUUUGCAAUCACUUUGGUGCUUACUCCUGUACCCAAAAUAAAUAAAAUGCAAGGAGCAAGCCCAUGUGAUAUGCCGGAAAUCAAGCAGGUCUAGUUUCAUCUGAAAGUGUACAGAGAAUAGAUAUAUUAGGGGCAUGAACAAUGCAUAUCACAAUGUGAGGAAUCCAUCAGGAGAAGCAAAUAGGUAGCGUAACUGAUCAGUGCUCACCGAAAUUGUUCAGUCCCUGAACCUGGAUGCCAUCGCUGUCUCCUUGCAAUUGCCGAUAGCCAUGAUCUCGGCACGCCUCUUGUUCUCAACGCGUUCAGUAUGGCAGCCACACAUGAUAAGAA
RNAcentral lists this long non-coding RNA (3334 nucleotides) under Brachypodium distachyon (stiff brome). RNAcentral describes it as "long non-coding RNA (BDIS_LNC005255)". The stretch from base 2087 to 2221 matches the Rfam family "MIR1120/MIR1122 microRNA precursor family". Lineage: Eukaryota; Viridiplantae; Streptophyta; Magnoliopsida; Poales; Poaceae. The record is from RNAcentral.